RNAcentral lists this ribosomal RNA (504 nucleotides) under uncultured bacterium. RNAcentral's name for it is "partial 16S ribosomal RNA". It matches the Rfam family "Bacterial small subunit ribosomal RNA", at positions 28 to 507 of the family's 1533-position model. The record is from RNAcentral.
GACGAACGCUGGCGGCGUGCCUAAUACAUGCAAGUAGAACGCACAGUUUAUACCGUAGCUUGCUACACCAUAGACUGUGAGUUGCGAACGGGUGAGUAACGCGUAGGUAACCUGCCUGGUAGCGGGGGAUAACUAUUGGAAACGAUAGCUAAUACCGCAUCAUAUUAAUUAUUGCAUGAUAAUUAAUUGAAAGGUGCAAUUGCACCACUACCAGAUGGACCUACGUUGUAUUAGCUAGUAGGUGAGGUAACGGCUCACCUAGGCGACGAUACAUAGCCGAGCUGAGAGGAUGAUCAGCCAAAGUGGAACUGAGACACGGUCCAGACUCAUAAGGGAGGAAGCAGUGGGGAAGAGUGGACAAUGGGAGAAAGGCUGAUGCAGCAAUAAAGCGUGGGGGAAGAAGGCGUGGGGGUUGGAAAGCACUUUUGUUGGGAAAGAAAAGCAGCAGGGGAAAAGGCAGGUGUUCUGCAGGUACCAAAAGAAUAAGAACCGGCUAACUGAGUG